This 2273-nucleotide long non-coding RNA is filed under the name Olea europaea (common olive). RNAcentral's name for it is "long non-coding RNA (OEUR_LNC013437)". The record is from RNAcentral. Lineage: Eukaryota; Viridiplantae; Streptophyta; Magnoliopsida; Lamiales; Oleaceae.
UCUAUUUUGUUGAGGUGUACGUGCAUAAUUUGUGUCCUCAGAAUCAAGAAGAUUUUUAAAAACAAUAGGUAACUAUUUGCCACCUGAAUCACAACUGCAACAUUUGAUAACUGCAUUUUAACCAUAGCAUUACAUGUAAUAUAAAUGUCACAAAACUCAUAUUUCUUACAUAAGAAAACCCCCAACAAUAUGGAGAAAAAUCAUCAACAAGUACAACAUUAUAAUGAGAAAUCCCUUUGUACGGAUAGAAGAUUUUUCCUAUAUCAGAAUGAACUAACUAAGAAGGAGCAGAAGUCAUUAAAGCACUAGUAGUAAAAGGUAAAUUGUCUGUUUUCCAAAUGACAGCCAACAUGACUAGAAAUAUGAGUUCGAGAAAGAGAGACAUGACCCAAACGAGAAUUCCUUAAAUGAAAUAGACUCCACUUAGAAACUAAAUUCUGUAAAGAAGACUCAACAAAAGUACUAACGGCAGUACAAGAAGGAAAAAUGAAGCAAAUCAAGCAAGUAAAGUCCACCUUCUCUAUGUAUACCACAAUCUGCUUCCUAGAUGUGUGAUUCUGUACAGAACAAUGGAUUGGAGAAAAAGUAACAUUAAAACCAAUUAUAGUUAGUUGUCCAAUUGAUAAAAGGUUCAUAGGGAGGUUAGGCACAUCAUAAACAUCAGAUAAGGACCAAGUUGGUUGUUUAACAGUUGCAGGUGGACGAUAUCCACGAAAAUGAGCGGGAGGGUAUUCGAACCCAACUUUUGGCUGUCCAUUGGGUGACUCUUGAUAACAUGACGCCCUGCAGGAUAGCGAUUGUCCUACGAGCUAGUUCAACACAUGAUUUACAAGGAAGAACACGAGAGAAAAAGCUCAAAAUACAGAGAAAUCCUCUGACGUUCAACUCAAUUUUAUUAAAAUCUAAAAUGACGAAAAGCAGCCCACAAGCCGAGCUAUAUAGCUUAAAAAAACGUUAUUAUUGGAAUUUUACCAAAAAUAGUGAAAUCUCAAUAAUCAUACCAAAAUAAACUACGUAAUAAAAGAAGUAACUCGCCAAAAAUCUGGCUCAAAUCAAGACUAUAAUCAUCAAGAAAAUGACAAACGAAAUAUCACGAAAAAUGAAAAAAAAAUAACUAAAAAUAAGAAUUAGGAAGUGAAAACAGAUUGGUCUCGAAAACUAUGCCCACCGAGAGCAGCUGAGUGACCAUGACGUGCACACCGAAAAGAGUUUUCCAGAUUGGGGUUUACAAUUGCAAUUCUGAUAACCGCAGCCAAAGUUAUGGCCAAAUUAUCAAGAUGUGUUCAGAAUUGCCCCAAUUAGGAAAAGACUGCGAUCACUUGCCAUCUUUGCGCCAAUUUUUCAACUCAUGGUAUCUUAGCACCAUCAACGUACUAUCUGACAACCUAGCAUCUCUUGCAAGCAUUCAAAACACAAAAUUAAUACUUACAUAGUUAAAGUAACCAAUAAAAUUGGGAUCACAACCCUUACCUCAUGUUUCGAACCCAAAACACAUAUCAUACCUACUUUAUGUACUCAUCAGGGCCAAGGUCACAAACAAAUACCACAGUAAAACAGAUAAUCACAGUGAAAUCAAGAGCAAAUAAACAUGCAAUGAAGAUAUAACAUAAGAUAAAAGACACGGUUCUUUUCAAAACACAUUUAUACAGAACAAUAGAUCAACAUGAAAUUAAUCAAUCAAAUGAUCAACACAUAUGCAACAAAUGCAUAAAUGACUCCACAAACAGAUCUCACCACACUUAUAAUAUCUCAUUCCGAGUUGUUCACACCUCGAGAACAUAUAUCUCCUUUCAUCGUCCAUCAUACUCACUAGACUGAUCACUCAACUCAUAUCUAACUGGUAAACCACAAUUGAUCCUAAGUCCACGAGAUAAUCCUCUAUUACUACAUCACUUCUCCCAACCUAAGUAGAUAAUGGGACUCCACCUAACAGAAGUAAUAGAAGUGUCUCUCUUACACUUCACCUGAUUAUGGUCUUUAUAGAUAAAAGAUUCCAACAUUUAAUUACCUCUCCACUCAUGAUCUAAAUGUCAUACUCCACAGCCCCUGUACAAACCACCAAUGUACCCAUAGAUAUCUAUACUCUAUCUUACCAAAAGACACUCAACAAACUUACUGCUAAAUCAUCCCAACCCACUAUGCAUGCAAACAAUUAUACAAAGUAAUCAAUUUGCUCUCAAAUUCAUGCAAAUAUACGUAUCAAACACAUUGAAAUGCAACAUAUAACCUUGCAAAGGAAUUAAGCAAUUACACAUAUGCAGAAAGGAUUACAC